CUGGCGGGCAGACUUGUGCAAGGCCACAAACAGACGCUGACGUAUACUGUGGUCCGAGAAGGUACUCUUCUUGUUUGAUUAUUGUUUAUUUAUUACGCUGUGAUUGUGGAAUUUAUCAGUGUUGAUCAGCAGUAGGUGAAUAACAAGCAUUUGUACGGUGUUCAAUAUCAAGGAAGCCGAGGAAGACAUAGUUCCUUCUUGCGGUGCCUACUGCCACUCUCAGUCCUUUUCGCCGUGGCAAGACAACGACAAGAGUAGCAGAGACGGCGACGAAGGCGUCGCAAAGCAAGCCGGACGAGGCUGCUACUUCCGCUAGUGAAUAACUGAGAGUACGGAAACAAACAAGUGCCUGUUGUCUGCUCAGCAUAUAUAUGGAGUAAUGCUGUCUUCUUCGGUGGUCUUCAACCGAGGUUACAUGAAGUCUUCCCACGAGCACAUGGUUCAGACGGGAAUGGCGACACCCUAUGCGACGCAGUACCCCCAAAAUGGGGAAGCGGGCCCCCCCAAGACCGAACCUGGAAAGGAGGGUCCACCGGUAGCUGUACCCCCGUUUUCACCACCCACUGUUACUCCGAACGGCAUCGAACAACAGACGGUUAGUAUUCAAACAGAGCCGCAAGCAGAAGCACCAACAACACAGGGAGCCCCGGCAGUGAAUGUGACUACAGUAGCCCUUCCAAGUGAACCAGGGAAGAAUCAACCCAAGAGACUCCAUGUCUCAAAUAUCCCAUUCCGGUUUCGAGAUCCAGAUCUUCGGGCUAUGUUUGGGCAAUUUGGUCCAAUUCUUGAUGUAGAAAUAAUUUUUAAUGAAAGGGGUUCCAAGGGAUUCGGUUUUGUAACAUUCGCAAAUAGUGCUGAUGCGGACCGCGCACGAGAGAGACUUCACGGCACCGUGGUUGAGGGAAGAAAGAUAGAGGUGAACAAUGCCACAGCUCGGGUGCAGACCAAGAAGCCACCUACAGUUCCCAACGUUUUUCUGACUAGGAAUGGGACGGUGCCCACACUCGGCUACCGGCUUCCAGCUGUGCCCUGGUCCUGGCUAGGGGGUACAGGGACCCCUCUCACAACACCUUCCACCUCUACAGCAGCUCCCCUGGUGUUGACACCUCGUACUGCUCGGAGGAGCAGCUGCAGCGCUGCGCGGUGUGGCAAUCCAGCGUGGGAGGGCACGUACCGCAUACCCAGCGGCUGCAGCAGCUGCUGCUGCAUUUGCCCGUCACCCAACGCCGCUUACUGCUGCAGCUGCUACUGCACUUCAUGGAUACACACCUGUCUACUACGAUCCCUUCUUAGCAGCACAUGCAGCCACUGCGGACCCAAACUACAGGUUACAGGCCGCCGCAGCUGCUGCGACCCCGCUACUAAAAACCCCUCUGUCGACUGCCCAACAGGCAAGUUAUGCAGCAGCUGCCAGUUACACUGCCGUUGCUGCACGUGCUUAUGGUGCUGCGGCCGCUGCAGCCCAACCCGUGGCAGGCUAUGCAGCUGUUGCAGGUUAUGGUCGUGAAUAUGCAGACCCUUACCUUGGGCAUAGCAUAGGACCUGUUGCUGGAUAUGGGGCAGCAGUUUACCGGAGUGGGUACAAUCGAUUUGCACCAUACUGAAGUGUCUGAAGGAAGGCAUAUUGACACCAGCUUACAUGACACAACCACUACUUGCACCUUGCCUCAUCCAUCACUUAUUAACGUAUCAUCUCGUCAGAUAUCACUUGUCAUCUGCUAUUGUGGCAUUCAUUCUAUGGACAACAUAGGAAAAACAGCUCUGAAUUGUGGGAAACUAUCCUGUAGUCUCAUCUUGUGGCAAGAAAGUGGACUUGUUACAUAGUUUGGCAGCUAUGUUAGUUGGCUGGGACCAGCUGUAGUGCUGAGAGUGAGGAUUGUACCAACUACAUGCCCAGUAUUUGGAUAUCUCAUAGGAAACUGUACUUCUCACUUCUGAUUAUAAUAUGAUUUUGAAAGGUUAAUUUUUUUUAUUGUUCUAGUGUUUUGAGUUAUUUCUGGUUUGUUCCUCACUAUUUGGUAGGGUGCGCAGUUUGAAAUGGUUACAAGAUUCCAACUCAGUACAGGAACUUCGGAACAACUAUGAUUUAGGAAGAAAUGGCAUUAAAUGUUCUAAUAUUAAUUGAUUAAUUAAUUGACAGAUUUGUAACUGUUUUAAUCAUAUGUUUAUGAUUGUAUGUAAAACAGGGAAUUUGUCCUGAACAAAAGACCUCGUGAGUUUUAUCAGUAGAUCAUGGCACAGAUAACUGAAGACCACCCUCCUUAGUUGUUUCCCCAUCAUCAAACUGACAGGUGUAAUGCACAUCUUUUUUUUUUAAUUCAUACCAACUAAACACCAAAUCUUUAGCAGGAGAAGGCAUUUUGCAGUGUCGUGUAAACCUGCCUGGAGAUAAUUUUUGUCAGUCAAUAUAAAUUUUUCUGGCAUGUGAAUAUUUAUACAUAUCCAUAUAGUUUUCAUUUGUGAUUUAUUCUUUAUUACUUGCAGUUAAUUUUCAUAUAUUUAUAAUAGAUGCAGUACUCACUUGUACACCAUUAAUAGAACAGUGAACCAUGUUUUAUGUUCAGUAACAUGCAAGAGCACAAAUGUGCCAUUUGAAGGCAUGUAUCAAGUCUGGGGCUCUGUGCCAGAUCACUCGAUGUAUCAAGUUAAUACUACAUUUCCUGUACAUAUAAUUGCUGUUAAUAUACUCAACAAAUAUCUGCCACAAGGUGGUGGAUUUGUGUACAUGUGAUAAAAGUAUUUUCAGAACAGCAACAUCCUUAUGAAGCUUCAGAUGACUAGCAGUUUUGUCUGGCUUAUGUGUUUAUCAAAUUGUUUCCUGCAAGGGAUCAUACACAAAUCAUUUUUACAUAUACUCAUCUCAUUAAAGAGUGGUGAAGAGGAGGGUGGAUACUGUGUUUUCAUUUCUAUUGCCUGAAGAUUCAGAAUGUGUGAAAGGGAUUGGAUAUAUGUAAAGGAAUAAACAACUGUAAAUGGAUGAUUAUGGGUCAGUAAACAGUAGGCCUAAAUUUUAUCAUAGUUGCUUCUGACAGUCUGAGACACAGAACAGUAUGUCAUGAUAGGCAGUUCUGAUCUUAGCAGUGUCUCAUACGGAAUGCUAAAAAUUGGUACCAAAAGCGACUUUGUGUUACCAAUAGACAGUAGCUGUUUGCAAGGCCCAUAAUCUCAGUCCUUUUGGCCCUGGUGAUGUCCUGAGCUGGAAGGAUUUGCAGAUCUGAAGUGGACAUAUCGGUUUGAAAACUUUGUAAUCAGUGUUUCUGUGUACCUAUACGUUUAAGUCAGUUUCCACGAAAAGCUCUCUUGAAACUCGUCGUGUGAAUGGCAUUGACUUAUGAGUGACAGUUGUAAGGGUGUGAACGAGACAAUUAAAUGCGUUCCAGUGUUUGUGUUAGGUAGGUUAGGUCCCGGUAGGUUAGUUAUAGGGAAAAACACUGACUGUAAUGUAUUCUGCUUUGUGACUCUUUGUCAGAUCAGUUCUUCACAUGAUCCCAUAAGGGAUUUAUUUUAGAUGUAAAAUACACAGUUUUUAGUUCGCUAGUUAGGAAGUAUAAAAUGUAGAAUUGUAGUAAUAUUAACACUGCAUAAAAUUAUAUUUGCAGAAGCUCUCAUGUGGGAUGUGUUUUAUAUUAAACAUUUGAAAGGGAAAACAGCAACUGAUUCAAAUGUGUAAUGACAGUUGGGACAUUUUUCAUAAUUUUCUAGAAUUGUAAGUUUGAACCUAAGCAAGAACUUGUUACCGCCUUUCAUAUUGGUCUGAAUUUUUGGAAACGUAGGGAGUUUUUGGCAACAACCUCUGGUAUCCAAGUGGUACUGAAGAACCAAAGACAUGACCAGUAUUUUAUCUGCUCAAUUUCAAAAAGUGGUUUGCAUGCUGGGUGACACAGAUCACAUUGGCCUGCAUUUCUGUCCUGUAGUUAAUACUUUUUUCAAAUUCCUCUAAUUCAAGCUCUGUUCAGAAGAUUCAGCAGAAUAUUGAAAGUUUCAGAACCAUGACGUCUUCCGUUUUGGCACAAUUUAAAACUUAUCUGCACACUGGUUGUUAUCUAACAUAAGGAGCACAAAUGAAGGGAUCUUUUUAUAUGUAUUGUGAGCCCAUUAUGUUUAUCUCUGUUGUUAUAUUUUUAAAUUACAUGUGGCUUUUCCUUCAUGGGAACCAUGCUGUUUUAGUUUCAUUCAGGUAAAUAUGGCAACAUAUGAUGUCUACAGCAGUUUCUGAACAGUGUAGAUAUUUGAUGUGCACAUGCAAGCUGUAGGUAUCUUCAUGAGAAUGUACAAGAGGUAGGAAGUGAGAUUUAUAUACACAACGUUCUGAAGACAAGUGGGUGAAUAUUCUUGUGUGGGAGUGACUAGUAGAAGAAUGAAUCUCAGCCAGAAUGUACAAAGUCUCAACAUUGUUACUUGCCGUAUUGUCUGUGUAUUCGUGGAAUAAAACAUGCUAUCAAAUUUCACAGGA
This is an RNA transcript of Cryptotermes secundus, 4453 nucleotides long. It is a transcript of the gene named RNA binding protein fox-1 homolog 1, with no coding region annotated. The transcript has 15 exons. Lineage: Eukaryota; Metazoa; Arthropoda; Insecta; Blattodea; Kalotermitidae. The record is from RefSeq and is a predicted model, not a curated record.